Long non-coding RNA from Arachis duranensis, 604 nucleotides. RefSeq lists it as uncharacterized. The record is from RefSeq and is a predicted model, not a curated record. NCBI's taxonomy places the organism in Eukaryota, Viridiplantae, Streptophyta, Magnoliopsida, Fabales, Fabaceae. The transcript is spliced from 4 exons.
UUCUUUCUUUGGAUUAACCAGCAAGUGGACAUUGACUGUGCGACUUGAACUAUUUGUAGUUGCCAAGUCGAAUAGAGAUAGAUCCAACCAGUAUGCUGCCAACCAUAACGAUGAUUUCAUUGAAUCAGAAUCUGACAGAUAGAUGCUUCUUAUGAAGGAAGCAGGAUGAGGAGUUGGAUGAGCUUAGUUUAAGUGUAUUUGUGAUGGCUUUUUCUUCUCUGAUUCAAUACUAGGAGCCUAAGUGGCAAGCCCAGGAAAAGAUUAUAGAUGAACUGGGUAAUUAGAUGGACAGUACAUCCAAUCAUUUAGAUUUUGUACAAAAAAAAGUGGCAAUGGUGAUGGAGAAGGCUAAUGCAAAGGGUCAGAUCAUGAACUGUUUAUUUUUCUCUUCAUCUUGGUAUUCUUCACCUAAACUCAUUUGAGAUUGGUCCUUGUUUGUACAUGAAAAGAGAGAUACCUCAGUUUUUGCGAGAAGAUACAAGAUUGUUGGACAUGUUUUGGUGUCUAUUAAUCAAAUGGAAGCUAUUUUGGUAUUUCAAGGCAGUAGAAUUUUAUGGUUAUGAUGAUAAAGGGAAAAUAUAAGGAUUUAAAUUCUCUGAACAAG